This 73-nucleotide transfer RNA is filed under the name Bos taurus (domestic cattle). It matches the Rfam family "tRNA". From Rfam's summary of the family: Transfer RNA (tRNA) molecules are approximately 80 nucleotides in length. Their secondary structure includes four short double-helical elements and three loops (D, anti-codon, and T loops). The record is from Rfam by way of RNAcentral. RNAcentral also lists the same sequence under 1 other name. Lineage: Eukaryota; Metazoa; Chordata; Mammalia; Artiodactyla; Bovidae.
UCCUUGGUGGUCCAGUGGUUAGGACUCUGCACUUUCACUGUCAAGGGUCUGGGUUCAAUCCCCAGUCAGGUAA